GUCUCUCUUCAAUUCGUCAAUUCCUAGAUACCCACCUCCUCCAGAUCACUUCUCGUUUGAUCAAUAAAUAAAGCAAAUAGGAGAGUUACGACAGUUACUCAGUUGUAAUUAGUCAGUUUUAGUAAGCAAAAAAUAAUUUUGAAAAACGUUUUUGACUACAGAAAAAAAGAGCAAAGAGAAGUAAUAAUGAGUUCGGAAAAUUGGAGUUUGACGGCGAAGCUUUGCGAUUCGUGCAAAACGACGUCGGCGACGGUGUUCUGCCGGGCAGAUUCUGCUUUUUUAUGCAUAGGAUGCGACUGUAAAAUCCACGCGGCGAAUAAGCUAGCGUCACGUCACGCGCGGGUUUGGGUUUGCGAGGUGUGCGAGCAGGCGCCGGCGAGCGUCACGUGCAAGGCGGACGCCGCCGCUCUCUGCGUCACGUGCGACCGCGAUAUCCACUCUGCGAAUCCAUUAGCGCGUCGUCACGAGCGUUUCCCCGUUGUUCCCUUCUACGACACCGCCGUCGCAAAAUCUCACGGCGGCGUUAAUGAUGAUGAGAAGUACUUUGAUAGUCAUGAGAAUAAUCCUCAACCGGAGGAAGAGGCGGAGGCGGCGUCGUGGAUACUUCCGACGCCGAAAGAAGGGACUGAUAAUCAGUAUAAAUCAGCGGAUUAUUUGUUUAAUGAUAUGGAUUCGUAUUUGGAUAUGGAUACUAUGUCGUGUGAUCAAAAACCGAAUAAUAUUCUUCAGCUGUACCAGCAGUACUGCUCUGAUGGAGUGGUGCCAGUGCAGAACAAGAACGAGAGUAGCCAUUUGCAAGGUCCAGUUGUUAAUGGAUUUCCAACGUACGAAAUGGACUUCAUUGGAUCUAAACCAUACUUGUACAACUUCAACUCUCAGUCCAUUAGCCAAAGUGUAUGUCCUCUUCUCUCUUCAUUUUCUUCUGAAUUGAGGCACAAUAAUAAUUCAGUUCCUACCUCCUAUUGUUUGGUUCUAGAAAAUCUAUCACAGCCUUAUGUAAAUACAACUUAUGUAUGUAUAAUUUCUAAGUGUAUGAUCUCAUUAAUUAUAUGCAUGGGUAAAUUUAAUGCAGGUUUCUUCAUCAUCUAUGGAAGUGGGAGUUGUGCCGGAGCACAGUGCAACGGCGGAUGUAUCAAACAGCUUAGUGAUGAACUCAUCGGGGGACACCGUACCGAACCCAGUCUCUGGUUUAGACAGAGAAGCAAGGGUAUUGAGGUACAGAGAGAAAAGGAAGAACAGAAAGUUCGAGAAGACUAUUCGGUAUGCUUCUAGAAAGGCUUACGCAGAGACCCGACCCAGAAUCAAAGGAAGAUUCGCAAAGCGUACUGAGAUUGAAGUCGACUCCCUUCUCGCCGCCGCCGAUGCGUCUUAUGGCGUUGUUCCAUCGUUUUAGGAGUUAUAAAUAUUUAUGUGGAAUUUGUCGACUAAAAAAUGAAAAAAGAGUUGGUUUUUAGUUUUCUUUCUUUUCAUGUUGUUGUUAUUAAGGAGGAUCAUGAUUAUGUAAAUAUUAUUAUUUUGUUCCAAUUUUGUGCUUUAUUUGGUAGUUUCCCUUUCGUAUUUGCAGUUUUGUGUAAUUCAAUUAUCAGCUCCACAUGACCACAUCCUUCUCAACAAAAAAAAAAGAAGAUGAAGAGAUCAGCUCCACGGGAAAGGAUUAAGCAACACCUUUCAGGAGGACAAUAAUUUCAACAAAACAAAAAAAAUCCAAGCAAAAUUGCUAUAUCCUCAAUUCAGAAGAGAUAAAUGAGUUUGGGAUGGCUACGUGGGAUUCUGCUUGGAUGAACUGGAAGAUAUCAUCAACAAAUAAAAGUACAUCUUAUUCAUUUACUUCUCUAAAAUAUUUCUGUCAUAGUUAGGACAUUCAACCAACUUUAAUACGAACUCUCGGCGAUUAUCAGUUAACAAGAAGUAGGAACUCAAAUUUGGUGUAUACUAGCUGGCCUUAGAAGAGUUCUAGUAAGUAGUAACUUGUUAAUGGCGAAGAAUUAAUGUGUCUAAAUAUGGUUUAAAGUAUUGAGGUUUUAAGCUAAAAUAAGCUUGGGUGAAUGAUAAAUAUAGGAAAAAUGAUUUUUUUUUUUAAAUUUCUGUCCUUGACAAUGGGAUAUUGUGGAAGAGGA
RNAcentral lists this long non-coding RNA (2117 nucleotides) under Nicotiana benthamiana. Its description in RNAcentral is "long non-coding RNA (NBEN_LNC023415)". Lineage: Eukaryota; Viridiplantae; Streptophyta; Magnoliopsida; Solanales; Solanaceae. The record is from RNAcentral.